This 402-nucleotide ribosomal RNA is filed under the name bacterium. RNAcentral describes it as "partial 16S ribosomal RNA". It matches the Rfam family "Bacterial small subunit ribosomal RNA", at positions 355 to 776 of the family's 1533-position model. The record is from RNAcentral.
UGGGGAAUUUUGCACAAUGGGGGAAACCCUGAUGCAGCGACGCCGCGUGAUUUAGAAGGCCUUCGGGUUGUAAAAAUCUUUUCUAUGGGAAGAAAAUGACAGUACCAUAGGAAUAAGGACCGGCUAAUUACGUGCCAGCAGCCGCGGUAAUACGUAAGGUCCGAGCGUUGUCCGGAAUCAUUGGGCGUAAAGGGUACGUAGGCGGGUAAGCAAGUUAGAAGUGAAAUCCUAUAGCUCAACUAUAGUAAGCUUUUAAAACUGCUCAUCUUGAGGUAUGGAAGGGAAAGUGGAAUUCCUAGUGUAGCGUUGAAAUGCGCAGAUAUUAGGAGGAAUACCGGUGGCGAAGGCGACUUUCUGGCCAUAACCUGACGCUGAGGUACGAAAGCGUGGGUAGCAAACAGG